Caretta caretta (loggerhead turtle) is the source of this 1785-nucleotide long non-coding RNA. RefSeq lists it as uncharacterized. The record is from RefSeq and is a predicted model, not a curated record. NCBI's taxonomy places the organism in Eukaryota, Metazoa, Chordata, Testudines, Cheloniidae.
CGGAAAUCCAGGCAACAGAGUAAUGCACCGAGGUGGGGGUGGCUGCCAGUGGCAACAAUAAAUACAGGAACAUGAAGGGGGUGUCGAGGGAUCACUUGCACCAUCACCCUGAUCUUCCCUUCAUAGGUGCUGACUCUGUGGGUGCUCCAGGGCUGGAGCACCAACAGGAAAAAUGGGGGGUGCUCAGCGACCACCGGCAGCUAGCUCCCCGCUCUUCUCCCCCAGCGCCUCCCACCCAUGGCGGCCCUGAUGAUCAGCACCUCCCCAUCCCUCCCAGCGCCUUCCACCCGCCGCGAUCAGCUGUUCCAUGGCAUGCAGAAGCUUGUGUCUGGAGCCUCCUGACUUCACAACGCAGAUCGGGUCUGGAACCGAUCAGGUAACUCAGCAGGGUGAGAAGUGGACCUCAGGCAACAGAUGGACCUCCGGACACGGACAGGCUAUGUGACUGAAAACAUUGUUUCCUGGACUGCCUACUACUUAGAUAACGGUUGGCAAGAGGAACACGGAAUCUGGAUGAACCACGGCUAUGGAGCACCUUGACUGGAGAUCAGAAGCUGAACUGAGUCACUUCUCCCACCAUGAGCCAGUUCCUGGCACUUCUGCUGAGAAGCUUCUAUUUGACUUGUAGAAAUAUUGUUAUCAAAACCAGAACAGUUAAACUGAUGGUUGUUUUGACAUAAGAACAGCCAUAUUGGGUUGCACCAAAGGUCCAUAUAGCUCUGUAUUCUGUCUUCCAACAGUGGCCAAUACCAGGUGCCCCAGAGGGAAUGAACAGAACAGGUAAUUAUCAAUCUUAAAUUUGCACUUUAGGGGCACACCAAUAACUACCGCUUCCAAGGAAGACCAAUUUCCACGUGAUGGAUAUGACACUAGCAGUUUUGAAUUGUAAAAGUGAGGAAAAGUUUUCCUUUUGAUGACAUGUUGACAUGCUGUGAUACCAGUCAGCUCUGUGUUUUUGGAGAACCAGAGCCCAGUAUCUAGCCUGUCUGACUCAUGACAGACACCCCCCACUACCAGUCUCUGCUUGAACCAAAACCAAUCAGAGAAAAGGCUUGCAGAGAGCAGUGAAGGGCAUUGGGAGGCACACCUAGAUCCCCCCUGACAAGGGUGACAAGAUUAAGACAUCUCCAUUAGUAUACAGAAUGAAGAACAGAGACAACUCCCCUAGCCUCAUCUGCAUGAAAGAUGGGACAUGGAUUAGUAUAAAGAAUGAAGAACAGAGAACCGCACUGAACUGUGGGACCAGAAAAGCAGAGAAGCACUGCAUCAUGGGAAUUUCUGUUCCAGAUAUUAAUGAACCUACACCUGCACACACCCAGCUCAGCAAUUAUCAGACCAAUUCUAGUAAUGAAUCCUUCAUUGAUAUCCAAAAUACUGAAGCAGCCUAGUUGCAUUGUGAGCUCCCUGGAAGAAAACAUCACCCAUAGCCAAGAGUGAUCAGCUCCUAUUGUCUAGCCUAAACAAAACCCUUGAGUCAUCAGUUUACCUAUAAACAAAUCUAGUAUUCUCCCUUGAGCCAUUGUAUUUUCUCUACAAAAAUCCCUACUCACCCUCCAGUCAGUGUUCUGAUGCAUGGAUCCAAACUCUGCAACAGUUCCACUGGGACUCCAUCUCCUGACUGAUCGUGCUGGGGGCUCUGUCUGUCUCCAGCACUCAGGACCCUGAGCUACCACCAUCACCUGGGAACCCCGACGAGUUCAAGCCUCAUGGAGUGGGUGAGAUCCCUCUCUCUCUCUUCUUUUCUACUUCAGGUAUUAGCCUUUAAAAAUGUAACUGUUAGGUUUG